UUGCAGCAACAUAGAGAUUCUGUUCUAAUUUGGAUAAACUUGACAAGUCAGUUGCUUUGGAGAACAUGAAAGCUCCUGCUUUGUUCUCUGUCUUGAAUCACUCACUCCUGGGGAAGCCAGCUGCCAUGCUGUGAGCACAACUAAGCAGUCCUAUGGAGAAGUCCUUGUGAUGAGGAAUUGAGGCCUUCAGCCAAUAGUAUGUGAGUGAGCCAUCAUGGAAGCAGAUCCUCCUCUCCCUGUCAAGCUUCCAGAUGACUUCAGCCUUGGCUGACAUCUUGACUGCAAGCUCAUGAGACACUCUGAGCCAGAACUACCCAGCUAAGUGCUUCUAGAUUCCUGACUUACAGAUACUGUGUGAGAUAAUAAAUGUUUAUUGUUUUAAGCUGCUAAAUUUUGGGGUAAUUUGUUACACAGCAAUAUAUAAUACAUAGCAUAUGGGACCUGACCCAAGUUCUUCAUUCGUUCUAUAUUCUUCAAUAUAUUAUAGUAUUCUUCAAUAUUUUAUGGUAUUCUUCAUGUUGGAACUAUGUCCUUCUUGUUAAGUUUGUUAUGUCUUCUCCUAAGUAUUUUAAGGUUUUUGCCUGUAAUAUAAAUGAAUUUUUAAAAAUUUCCAUUUCUCUUUGUUUUUUGCAAGAUUAGAGCAAGACUAUUGAUUUUUAUGUAUUUCUCUUAUAGCCAAUAAUUUACCAAAUUCUCAUGUUCAUUCUAUACAUUUUUUUUUAACUAGAGUCUGUUGGGUCACUGGGAUAUACAAUCAUGUCAUCAGUAAGAAGGAAUUUCAAAAUAAAGGACUUCAACUUUUCUAAAA
Long non-coding RNA from Galeopterus variegatus (Sunda flying lemur), 808 nucleotides. RefSeq lists it as uncharacterized. Lineage: Eukaryota; Metazoa; Chordata; Mammalia; Dermoptera; Cynocephalidae. The record is from RefSeq and is a predicted model, not a curated record. The transcript is spliced from 2 exons.